UCGUAACAAGGUCUCCGUUGGUGAACCAGCGGAGGGAUCAUUACCGAGUUAUACAACUCAUCAACCCUGUGAACAUACCUAAAACGUUGCUUCGGCGGGAACAGACGGCCCUGUAACAACGGGCCGCCCCCGCCAGAGGACCCCUAACUCUGUUUUUAUAAUGUUUUUCUGAGUAAACAAGCAAAUAAAUUAAAACUUUCAACAACGGAUCUCUUGGCUCUGGCAUCGAUGAAGAACGCAGCGAAAUGCGAUAAGUAAUGUGAAUUGCAGAAUUCAGUGAAUCAUCGAAUCUUUGAACGCACAUUGCGCCCGCCAGUAUUCUGGCGGGCAUGCCUGUUCGAGCGUCAUUACAACCCUCAGGCCCCCGGGCCUGGCGUUGGGGAUCGGCGGAAGCCCCCUGUGGGCACACGCCGUCCCUCAAAUACAGUGGCGGUCCCGCCGCAGCUUCCAUUGCGUAGUAGCUAACACCUCGCAACUGGAGAGCGGCGCGGCCAUGCCGUAAAACACCCAACUUCUGAAUGUUGACCUCGAAUCAGGUAGGAAUACCCGCUGAACUUAAGCAUAUCAAUAAGCGGAGGAAAAGAAACCAACAGGGAUUGCCCCAGUAACGGCGAGUGAAGCGGCAACAGCUCAAAUUUGAAAUCUGGCUCUCGGGCCCGAGUUGUAAUUUGUAGAGGAUGCUUUUGGU
RNAcentral lists this small RNA (688 nucleotides) under Fusarium solani. RNAcentral describes it as "eukaryotic LSU rRNA". The stretch from base 194 to 347 matches the Rfam family "5.8S ribosomal RNA". Lineage: Eukaryota; Fungi; Ascomycota; Sordariomycetes; Hypocreales; Nectriaceae. The record is from RNAcentral.